Molecule: non-coding RNA, 72 nt
Organism: Nematostella vectensis (starlet sea anemone)
Lineage: Eukaryota; Metazoa; Cnidaria; Anthozoa; Actiniaria; Edwardsiidae
Source: Rfam
GGCUCAGUGGUCUAGUGGUAUGAUUCUCGCUUUGGGUGCGAGAGGCCAUGGGUUCGAUUCCCGUCUGAGCCC